This 460-nucleotide ribosomal RNA is filed under the name uncultured bacterium. RNAcentral's name for it is "partial 16S ribosomal RNA". It matches the Rfam family "Bacterial small subunit ribosomal RNA", at positions 338 to 795 of the family's 1533-position model. The record is from RNAcentral.
CCUACGGGUGGCAGCAGUGAGGAAUAUUGGUCAAUGGGCGCGAGCCUGAACCAGCCAAGUCGCGUGAAGGAUGACUGCCCUACGGGUUGUAAACUUCUUUUAUACAUGAAUAAAGUGAGGCACGUGUGCCUUUUUGUAUGUACUUUAUGAAUAAGGAUCGGCUAACUCCGUGCCAGCAGCCGCGGGAAUACGGAGGAUCCGAGCGUUAUCCGGAUUUAUUGGGUUUAAAGGGUGCGGAGAUGGUCUGUUAAGUCAGAUGUGAAAGUUCGCGGCUCAACCGUGAAAUUGCAAUUGAUACUGGCAGGCUUGAGAACAGUUGUGGUAGGCGGAAUGUGUGGUGUAGCGGUGAAAUGCUUAGAUAUCAUGAAGAAAUCCGAUUGCGAAGGCAGCUUACUAAGCUGCCACUGACAUUGAGGCUCGAAAGUGUGGGUAGCAAACAGGAUUAGAUACCCCGGUAGUC